Molecule: ribosomal RNA, 415 nt
Filed under: Acanthamoeba sp. AcHu/3/1997/T15
Lineage: Eukaryota; Discosea; Longamoebia; Acanthamoebidae
Description: SSU rRNA
Rfam family: Eukaryotic small subunit ribosomal RNA
Source: RNAcentral
AAAAUUAGAGUGUUCAAAGCAGGCAGACCAUUUCUUCUGCCACCGAAUACAUUAGCAUGGGAUAAUGGAAUAGGACCCUGUCCUCCUAUUUUGCGUGUUGGUUUUCGAGGACCGGGUAAUGAUUAAUAGGGAUAGUUGGGGGCAUUAAUAUUUAAUUGUCAGAGGUGAAAUUCUUGGAUUUAUGAAAGAUUGACUUCUGCGAAAGCAUCUGCCAAGGAUGUUUUCAUUAAUCAAGAACGAAAGUUAGGGGAUCGAAGACGAUCAGAUACCGUCGUAGUCUUAACCAUAAACGAUGCCGACCAGCGAUUAGGAGACGUUGAAUACAAAACACCACCGUCGGGUCGGCCGUCCUUGGCCGUCGUGCGCGGCGACGCGCGCGGCGGCGAGGGCGGUGUCUGCCCGACGGCCCGGUGAA